RNAcentral lists this transfer RNA (96 nucleotides) under Cerataphis brasiliensis. Its description in RNAcentral is "tRNA-Val". Lineage: Eukaryota; Metazoa; Arthropoda; Insecta; Hemiptera; Hormaphididae. The record is from RNAcentral.
UUAAUUAAUUUUAAUUUAAAUAAAUAUCUAAAUUUAAGUAUAUCAUUUACAAUGAUAAGAUGUUUUAUAAACUUUAUUUAAAUUUUUUUAAUUAAU